CCUUAUGACGCAGGACAGCCGAUUGUGCUGUAUUUAUUUUUCGAGCAGAUUUUUUUGUAAAUGUGCCUGAGACGUUUGAGGUGAUAAACCUGAUUUAACAUCUCACAGAUUUCCAGUAGACCCAAUUCCAAGGUUCUGCAUUCGCCUUUUGUACCAACACAUGGCUGCCUUGCCCUGAUCACACCUGUGAUUCCUUCGGAGUGGCUACAGAACUUUAACCAUUUCUGACAGAAAACACUGCAUUGCUCUGGACAAAAUCAUCGAAACCCCCCCAGGCCCUCGAUUCUACAGCUGUGUUCGAAAUAUGAAAGGGCAUAAGAUGGAAAAGUGGGCAAGGUCUGACAUUUACGAGGCACUGGCAUCAAGUUCAAGGCCUUGGUGCUUGGUCUUGAGAUCCAUUAAUCCUUAAGACCUACGUCCCAUCUUGCCUUCUUCAGUCAGCAGACCUGUGCUACUCUGAAAUCCCUCCACCAUGUGAGAAGACAUUUCUCAUGUAUGGUUCCCCGAUGGUGGAAUGAGCUGCUGAACCAUUUCCAGUCGUCAGACUCCCUUCUCCACCUUCAAGAAAUGCUUCAAGACCCAUUUGUUCAAGGAAGCCCUCUACUAGCUGUAUGUUACCCGAGUGUUGCACUUUAUCUACUGAUCUGAUCAGUUGUUUUAUUAGGUUCUUGCUUAGUUGGAAAGAUGUACAGCUCUGACUCUGAUAGCACUUACAUUUGUACCUGGGCAUUCAUUGGAAGCUCAGCCUAGCUGCUCUUACGCCAAGUCGACUCCUUGACAGCCUUUUGUUUGCAAUGUGCUGCUUGUCUCACUUCUGAGUCGCUUUGGACAAACAUCUCAGCUAAAUAUGUCAUGUAGAUGUAGUAAAUGUCUCAGUCUCCAUUGCUCUUUCUGUCACCACACUUGCAAGAAAUCUGCCAAUGCUAGCUAUGGAUGUCUUCAGCAAAACACAGCUUUAUUGAAAAUCUCUUUUAAGCCUUUUUUUCAUUAACAGAGUGUUCCCAUUUUAAUGUUACCUACACGUUGGACUGAUUUUUAUUUCAAACUACAUUACAUCAAUACAUACUGCUUUUGGUCAGCUAAAACUACUACAAAGAUUUAUGAAUUAUUAUUAGUAAUAAAAUAAAUACAAAUAUUAUAAUAAAAAUUACAUCAUGACAGAUUACGCUAUUCUACCAUAGUCAUAAUUUUUAAAUUUUGCAGUAUUUUUCAAACAUUUUUCUUCUGACAUUGUGACUCUUCGGAAACUACUAUUCAGGAAGAGGCAUUAAAAAAAUAUUAGAACCAUAAAGUGCUUUGUAUUUCAGUCUAUUAGCCAAAAUUUAACAACUGGAAAAAACGGGACUGUUUUCAUCCAUAAAAUCACAAAUACCUUCACCUCAAAUUGAUAUAUAAAAAAGACAUUAA
Paramormyrops kingsleyae is the source of this 1407-nucleotide long non-coding RNA. RefSeq lists it as uncharacterized. The record is from RefSeq and is a predicted model, not a curated record. NCBI's taxonomy places the organism in Eukaryota, Metazoa, Chordata, Actinopteri, Osteoglossiformes, Mormyridae.